GACGUAGGGCGCGAGCGUUGUCCGGAUUUAUUGGGCGUAAAGAGCUCGUAGGCGGCUCGUUGCGUCGGCUGUGAAAACCCGCAGCUCAACUGUGGGCUUGCAGCCGAUACGGGCGGGCUAGGAUUCGGUAGGGGAGACUGGAAUUCCUGGUGUAGCGGUGAAAUGCGCAGAUAUCAGGAAGAACACCCGUGGCGAAGGCGGUUCUCUGGGACGGUACUGACGCUGAGACGCGAAAGCGUGGGGAGCGAACAGG
This 253-nucleotide ribosomal RNA is filed under the name uncultured bacterium. RNAcentral's name for it is "partial 16S ribosomal RNA". It matches the Rfam family "Bacterial small subunit ribosomal RNA", at positions 524 to 776 of the family's 1533-position model. The record is from RNAcentral.